AAGUCGAGCGGACAGAUGGGAGCUUGCUCCCUGAUGUUAGCGGCGGACGGGUGAGUAACACGUGGGUAACCUGCCUGUAAGACUGGGAUAACUCCGGGAAACCGGGGCUAAUACCGGAUGCUUGUUUGAACCGCAUGGUUCAAACAUAAAAGGUGGCUUCGGCUACCACUUACAGAUGGACCCGCGGCGCAUUAGCUAGUUGGUGAGGUAAUGGCUCACCAAGGCGACGAUGCGUAGCCGACCUGAGAGGGUGAUCGGCCACACUGGGACUGAGACACGGCCCAGACUCCUACGGGAGGCAGCAGUAGGGAAUCUUCCGCAAUGGACGAAAGUCUGACGGAGCAACGCCGCGUGAGUGAUGAAGGUUUUCGGAUCGUAAAGCUCUGUUGUUAGGGAAGAACAAGUACCGUUCGAAUAGGGCGGUACCUUGACGGUACCUAACCAGAAAGCCACGGCUAACUACGUGCCAGCAGCCGCGGUAAUACGUAGGUGGCAAGCGUUGUCCGGAAUUAUUGGGCGUAAAGGGCUCGCAGGCGGUUUCUUAAGUCUGAUGUGAAAGCCCCCGGCUCAACCGGGGAGGGUCAUUGGAAACUGGGGAACUUGAGUGCAGAAGAGGAGAGUGGAAUUCCACGUGUAGCGGUGAAAUGCGUAGAGAUGUGGAGGAACACCAGUGGCGAAGGCGACUCUCUGGUCUGUAACUGACGCUGAGGAGCGAAAGCGUGGGGAGCGAACAGGAUUAGAUACCCUGGUAGUCCACGCCGUAAACGAUGAGUGCUAAGUGUU
This 783-nucleotide ribosomal RNA is filed under the name Bacillus spizizenii. Its description in RNAcentral is "bacterial SSU rRNA". It matches the Rfam family "Bacterial small subunit ribosomal RNA", at positions 59 to 824 of the family's 1533-position model. Lineage: Bacteria; Bacillati; Bacillota; Bacilli; Caryophanales; Bacillaceae. The record is from RNAcentral.